Molecule: non-coding RNA, 47 nt
Organism: Phaeodactylum tricornutum CCAP 1055/1
Lineage: Eukaryota; Bacillariophyta; Bacillariophyceae; Surirellales; Neidiaceae
Source: Rfam
AAACCGGAUUUUCUAAAAUCCACCCAUCUUUCAAAGAAAAGCCCAAU